UCCUUCCUUCCUUCCUUCCUUCCUUCCUUCCUUCCUUCCUUCCCUAGUCGCACUGAACUGACAGGUGACACUGCCUCCCUAAGUUGUCUAGAUAAAAUGCCCCUAUGAUAACAACCACAACAAAGGCACUUGGAGAUGUGACUGCAAUUCAGUGGACAGACUAGGACUGGAUGGAGAGAUCUGGGAAUCAUCUGCAUACAAAUGACUGAACUCACAGGGGCCAAUGAGAGACCAGGUGAGAUAAGUCUAGAGCCAAAAGAGAAAAGGGUGCAAGCCAGGGCACUGGGAGAUAUCUAUGGUUAAUGACACAAAAGAAGAACCACGAAAGGAGAGAGAGAAAUAGGAGACAGCAGCACCACGAAAAUCUUGAGAGGGGAAAGUGUCCAGAAGGCAAAGAUGAUGGACAGCAUCAAAUGCUGCAGAGAUGUCAAGGGGAUGAAGACUGAGAUUUUGAGAUUAGUUUUUAGAUUUAGCAGUGAAGAUCUUGAUCAUUGUUAACUUUGGAGAAAGUGGUUUCAGCUGAACAGUGAAACUGGAAAAAGAAGAAAAAGAAAAUAAGGUGUAGAACUUUGUUUUAAGAGGUUGCCAAUUUUGUAGGGGAAUCAAGGGAUGCAAAAUAAUUAUGACACAAAUUAGAAUAAGAGGUAUGUAAAAAGUGUAGUCCUUAUCUUCAGAGAAGAUCAAAUAAAGAUAAAACAAGCAUAAAUUUCAGCAAGAUUGUCUAUACUUAAAAAUUAUGACGCUAAGCACAUAUUUAAGGAAGUAUGAAAAGGAAUAUUUGGUAUACAAAGUGCAGGAUUGAUGAAAUGAUCAACAAAAAUCCUUUUAAACAUUGGGGUCUGGCAAAAAAAAUAUAAAUAUGUGCUCCAUUAAAAACUGCCUCUGUUUCUUCAUCCUGUCAUAUAGGUAACCCUGGGUGUAUCAAGACUAGGUGACUCAUGUGAGAUCUGGCAAGCUGGAGGCUUAGGGUAGGGGCCUGGCAACAUAUAAUAUGUACCUUCUUUUGAGGACUAGACUAAAUUCAGAAAGUCUUCUCACCGAAGGCUGCUUUUUUUUUUUUGUCAUACUAAUUCAGGAAGACCCUAUACUAUGAUACAGCAAGAUGGCUAUUUGUUACUACUAUUCUUCAUUGUGAAAUUAAUGCUUGAGAUUUUUCAUAUUUUAUAUACAAUAGGUGCUCAAGAAAUGUUACCUUAUAUUUAAGAUAAUAGUUUUAGCCAGAAGGGUCAAAGAUGUUUUAAUUUACCUAAAAAUCUAUUUGCUUUAAUAUAUAUUAACAGACGCUGCCCACUGCCCAAAUUGUGAAAAAACUCAUAAUUUCUGGUGAUAAAACUUUUUUGUAUAUACACUUUAAUAUUUGAAAUAACUAGUUAUGUUUAACAUUGUUCAAUAUUCAAAUGAAUAAACAUAAAAUAUUAUGACAUUUUCAAUAGACUCUCCAAAGGCUGGAAUGGGUGUUAAAAACUGCAGGGAGAAAAAAACUGUUACCCUUUUCUUGUAAUAGACUUCCUAACAAACUUCCAAAAUUAAACUACUUUGUAUAUACUGUUUAUAUAAAUACAGCAAAUCUCACAAGGGUCACCUACUGAAGCUCCUUAAGAAAAA
Molecule: non-coding RNA, 1605 nt
Organism: Phascolarctos cinereus (koala)
Lineage: Eukaryota; Metazoa; Chordata; Mammalia; Diprotodontia; Phascolarctidae
Source: RefSeq, a predicted model, not a curated record